AACCCCUCACCCCUACUGAACUAUUUUAUAACAUUAUAAAAAUAAUCAUGCUAGAACUAGUAACAAGAAGUCGCCCUUCUCCAUAAUGCAAACAUAAACCAAAACGGACACUCCAUUGGUAAUUAACGCAAAUGUAAAACCAUAACAACACAAACCAGAAAACCUUAUGGCCACCCACACGUUAUCCUAACACCAGAGCAUUACAGGAAAGAUUAAAAGAUAAAGAAGGAACUCGGCAAAUUUUAACCCCGCCUGUUUACCAAAAACAUCGCCUCUUGACUAAAUAUAAGAGGUCCAGCCUGCCCAGUGAUAAUAUUCAACGGCCGCGGUAUACUGACCGUGCGAAGGUAGCAUAAUCACUUGUUCUUUAAAUGGGGACUCGUAUCAACGGCAUCACGAGGGUUACACUGUCUCCUCUCUCCAAUCAGUGAAACUGAUCCCCCCGUGAAGAAGCGGGGAUUCAAUUAUAAGACGAGAAGACCCCAUGGAGCUUUAAACCCAACAUAUACCUCUGCAUUCAAAUACCAACUUAACCAAAGAGGCCUGUACGUCGGUUUUAGGCUGGGGGGGCCACGGAGUAAAACUAAACCUCCAUAAUAAAUGGGCUAACACCCUAAUCUAUGACUUAUAAGUCUAAGAAUCACUAAAAUGAUAUUUAAUGACCCGAUAAUUCGAUCAAUGAACCAAGUUACCCUGGGGAUAACAGCGCAAUCUACUUCAAGAGCCCUUAUCGACAAGUGGGUUUACGACCUCGAUGUUGGAUCAGGGGUAUCCUAGUGGUGCAACCGCUAC
RNAcentral lists this ribosomal RNA (792 nucleotides) under Odorrana hainanensis. RNAcentral's name for it is "partial 16S ribosomal RNA". It matches the Rfam family "Bacterial large subunit ribosomal RNA", at positions 1539 to 2565 of the family's 2925-position model. The record is from RNAcentral. Lineage: Eukaryota; Metazoa; Chordata; Amphibia; Anura; Ranidae.